RNAcentral lists this ribosomal RNA (463 nucleotides) under uncultured bacterium. RNAcentral describes it as "partial 16S ribosomal RNA". It matches the Rfam family "Bacterial small subunit ribosomal RNA", at positions 28 to 507 of the family's 1533-position model. The record is from RNAcentral.
GACGAACGCUGGCGGCGUGCUUAACACAUGCAAGUCGAGCGGUAAGGCCCUUCGGGGUACACGAGCGGCGAACGGGUGAGUAACACGUGAGUAAUCUGCCCAUCACUUCGGGAUAACUCCGGGAAACCGGUGCUAAUACCGUAUAUGACCACUUCAGGCAUCUGAUGGUGGUGGAAAGUUCCGGCGGUGAUGGAUGAGCGCGCGGCCUAUCAGCUUGUUGGUGGGGUAGUGGCCUACCAAGGCUUCGACGGGUAGCCGGCCUGAGAGGGUGACCGGCCACACUGGGACUGAGACACGGCCCAGACUCCUACGGGAGGCAGCAGUGGGGAAUAUUGGACAAUGGGCGAAAGCCUGAUCCAGCAACGCCGCGUGAGGGAUGACGGCCUUCGGGUUGUAAACCUCUGUCAGCAGGGACGAAGCGCAAGUGACGGUACCUGCAGAAGAAGCACCGGCCAACUACGUG